GAUGAACGCUGGCGGCGUGCCUAAUACAUGCAAGUCGAGCGGUAAGGCUUUCACUCUGUAUUUAAUGAGUUGAAUAUAGUGUGAAAGUACACGAGCGGCGGACGGCUGAGUAACGCGUAGGAACGUACCCCAAAGUGAGGGGAUAAGCACCGGAAACGGUGUCUAAUACCGCAUGUGAUCUUCGGAUUAAAGCUUUAUGCGCUUUGGGAGCGGCCUGCGUAAGAUUAGUUUGUUGGUGAGGUAAUGGCUCACCAAGACUACGAUCUUUAGCUGGUCUGAGAGGAUGAUCAGCCAGACUGGGACUGAGACACGGCCCAGACUCCUACGGGAGGCAGCAGUAGGGAAUUUUCCACAAUGGACGAAAGUCUGAUGGAGCAACGCCGCGUGCAGGAUGAAGGGCCUUCGGGUUGUAACUAGCUUUAUCUGUGACGAUUAUG
Molecule: ribosomal RNA, 437 nt
Filed under: uncultured bacterium
Lineage: Bacteria
Description: bacterial SSU rRNA
Rfam family: Bacterial small subunit ribosomal RNA
Source: RNAcentral